Non-coding RNA from Hordeum vulgare subsp. vulgare (domesticated barley), 136 nucleotides. The record is from Rfam. NCBI's taxonomy places the organism in Eukaryota, Viridiplantae, Streptophyta, Magnoliopsida, Poales, Poaceae.
CUUAUACUCCCUUCGUCUCAAAAUUCAUGUCUUAGAUUUAUUUACAUAUAAAUUUAUCUAGUCACGUUUUAGUAUUAUGAUACAUUAAUUUUUAAACAAACCUAAGAUAAGAAUUUUGAGACGGAGGAAGUAUUAA